This 72-nucleotide transfer RNA is filed under the name Harveyella mirabilis. RNAcentral's name for it is "tRNA-Asn". It matches the Rfam family "tRNA". Rfam says of the family: Transfer RNA (tRNA) molecules are approximately 80 nucleotides in length. Their secondary structure includes four short double-helical elements and three loops (D, anti-codon, and T loops). The record is from RNAcentral. Lineage: Eukaryota; Rhodophyta; Florideophyceae; Gigartinales; Choreocolacaceae.
UCUUCAAUAGCUCAGUGGUAGAGCAAUCGGCUGUUAACCGAUUAGUCGUAGGUUCAAAUCCUUCUUGAAGAG